RNAcentral lists this ribosomal RNA (460 nucleotides) under uncultured bacterium. Its description in RNAcentral is "partial 16S ribosomal RNA". It matches the Rfam family "Bacterial small subunit ribosomal RNA", at positions 338 to 795 of the family's 1533-position model. The record is from RNAcentral.
CCUACGGGAGGCAGCAGUGAGGAAUAUUGGUCAAUGGACGCAAGUCUGAACCAGCCAUGCCGCGUGCAGGAAGACGGCUCUAUGAGUUGUAAACUGCUUUUGUACGAGGGUAAACGCAGAUACGCGUAUCUGUCUGAAAGUAUCGUACGAACAAGGAUCGGCUAACUCCGUGCCAGCAGCCGCGGUAAUACGGAGGAUUCAAGCGUUAUCCGGAUUUAUUGGGGUUAAAGGGUGCGUAGGCGGUCGGAUAAGUUAGAGGUGAAAGCCCGGGGCUCAACGUCGGAAUUGCCUCUGAUACUGUUCGGCUAGAGAGUAGUAGCGGUAGGCGGAAUGAAUGGUGUAGCGGUGAAAUGCUUAGAGAUCAGACAGAACACCGAUUGCGAAGGCAGCUUACCAAGCUACUUCUGACGUUGAGGCACGAAAGCGUGGGGAGCAAACAGGAUUAGAUACCCGAGUAGUC